Molecule: ribosomal RNA, 465 nt
Filed under: uncultured bacterium
Lineage: Bacteria
Description: partial 16S ribosomal RNA
Rfam family: Bacterial small subunit ribosomal RNA
Source: RNAcentral
CCUACGGGAGGCAGCAGUGGGGAAUAUUGCGCAAUGGGCGAAAGCCUGACGCAGCGACGCCGCGUGAGGGAUGAAGGUCUUCGGAUCGUAAACCUCCGUCAGCAGGGAAGAACGGUCACUGUGCUAAUCAGCAUUGAAUUGACGGUACCUGCAAAGGAAGCACCGGCUAACUCCGUGCCAGCAGCCGCGGUAAUACGGAGGGUGGGAGCGUUAAUCGGAAUUACUGGGCGUAAGGCGCUCGUAGGCGGUAUGUCAAGCCAAGGGUGAAAUCCCCGCGCUCAACGGUGGAACUGCCUUUGAAACUGGCAAACUGGAGUGUGUGAGAGGAUAGUGGAAUUCCAGGUGUAGGAGUGAAAUCCGUAGAUAGCAGGAGGAACAUCGGUGGCGAAGGCGACUAUCUGGCACAUAACUGACGCUGAGGAGCGAAAGCGUGGGUAGCAAACAGGAUUAGAUACCCCAGUAGUC